Molecule: non-coding RNA, 100 nt
Filed under: Clostridium sp.
Lineage: Bacteria; Bacillati; Bacillota; Clostridia; Eubacteriales; Clostridiaceae
Also listed under: 1 other name
Description: TPP sequence
Rfam family: TPP riboswitch aptamer (THI element)
About the family: Vitamin B(1) in its active form thiamin pyrophosphate (TPP) is an essential coenzyme that is synthesised by coupling of pyrimidine and thiazole moieties in bacteria. The previously detected thiamin-regulatory element, thi box was extended, resulting in a new, highly conserved RNA secondary structure, the THI element, which is widely distributed in eubacteria and also occurs in some archaea.
Source: RNAcentral
AAUAUGUUGCGGGGGAACUCUUAUGAGUUGAGAAGGUUAAAACCUGACCCUUUGAACCUGUCAGUUAACACUGGCGUAGGGAAGCAAUUCAUUAUACGGA